This 122-nucleotide non-coding RNA is filed under the name Arsenophonus endosymbiont of Trialeurodes vaporariorum. Its description in RNAcentral is "Phe_leader". It matches the Rfam family "Phenylalanine leader peptide". Lineage: Bacteria; Pseudomonadati; Pseudomonadota; Gammaproteobacteria; Enterobacterales; Morganellaceae. The record is from RNAcentral.
AAAGAUAAAAAUUGUUUUUUUCGUUUCUUUUUUUAUUUUAGCACCUAAAAUUUGGGGCUUUCGCGCAUUUAAGAAAAGAAACAAAAAACCGCGAUAAGCCUCCAAAUGGAGGCUUUUUUGUU